Molecule: ribosomal RNA, 253 nt
Filed under: uncultured bacterium
Lineage: Bacteria
Description: partial 16S ribosomal RNA
Rfam family: Bacterial small subunit ribosomal RNA
Source: RNAcentral
UACGGAGGGUGCGAGCGUUGUCCGGAUUCACUGGGCGUAAAGGGCGCGUAGGUGGCCUGAUCAGUCGGGCGUAAAAGGGCGCGGCUAAACCGCGUGCUGGCGUUCGGGACGGUGGGGCUUGAGGGUGGUCGAGGGAUGCGGAAGUCCGGGUGUAGUGGUGAAAUGCGUAGAUAUCCGGAGGAACACCGGUGGCGAAGGCGGCAUCCUGGGCCACAACUGACACUGAGGCGCGAGAGCGUGGGGAGCGAACCGG